This 314-nucleotide ribosomal RNA is filed under the name uncultured Cladosporium. RNAcentral describes it as "eukaryotic LSU rRNA". The stretch from base 1 to 101 matches the Rfam family "5.8S ribosomal RNA", at positions 54 to 154 of the family's 154-position model. The record is from RNAcentral. Lineage: Eukaryota; Fungi; Ascomycota; Dothideomycetes; Cladosporiales; Cladosporiaceae.
UGCGAUACGUAAUGUGAAUUGCAGAAUUCAGUGAAUCAUCGAGUCUUUGAACGCACAUUGCGCCCCCUGGUAUUCCGGGGGGCAUGCCUGUUCGAGCGUCAUUUCACCACUCAAGCCUCGCUUGGUAUUGGGCAACGCGGUCCGCCGCGUGCCUCAAAUCGACCGGCUGGGUCUUCUGUCCCCUAAGCGUUGUGGAGACUAUUCGCUAAAGGGUGCUCGGGAGGCUACGCCGUAAAACAAACCCAUUUCUAAGGUUGACCUCGGAUCAGGUAGGGAUACCCGCUGAACUUAAGCAUAUCAAUAAGCGGAGGAAA